Molecule: ribosomal RNA, 407 nt
Filed under: uncultured prokaryote
Also listed under: 1 other name
Description: bacterial SSU rRNA
Rfam family: Bacterial small subunit ribosomal RNA
Source: RNAcentral
UUGGGAAUAUUGGGCAAUGGAGGAAACUCUGACCCAGCAACGCCGCGUGAAGGAAGAAGGUUUUCGGAUUGUAAACUUCUGUAAUAGAGGAAGAAGAAAGUGACGGUACUCUAUUAGAAAGCUACGGCAAACUACGUGCCAGCAGCCGCGGUAAGACGUAGGUAGCAAGCGUUGUCCGGAAUAACUGGGCGUAAAGGGAGCGUAGGCGGUCAUGUAAGUCUAAUGUGAAAGUUUGUGGCUUAACCAUAAAAGUGCAUUGGAUACUGUGUGACUGGAGUACGGAAGAGGUAAACGGAAUUACUAGUGUAGCGGUGAAAUGCGUAGAUAUUAGUAGGAAGACCAGAGGCGAAGGCGGUUUACUGGGACGAUACUGACGCUGAGGCUCGAAAGCGUGGGGAGCAAACAGG